AGUGGCGGACGGGUGAGUAACGCGUGGGUAACCUACCUCAUACAGGGGGAUAACAGUUGGAAACGACCGCUAAUACCGCAUAACCCGCUAGUAUCGCAUGAUACAGACGGAAAAGAUUUAUCGGUAUGAGAUGGACCCGCGUCUGAUUAGCCAGUUGGCAGGGUAACGGCCUACCAAAGCAACGAUCAGUAGCCGGCCUGAGAGGGUGAACGGCCACAUUGGGACUGAGACACGGCCCAAACUCCUACGGAAGGCAGCAG
Molecule: ribosomal RNA, 260 nt
Filed under: uncultured bacterium
Lineage: Bacteria
Description: partial 16S ribosomal RNA
Rfam family: Bacterial small subunit ribosomal RNA
Source: RNAcentral